GCCAACAGCCUCACCCCACCCACCACCUCGCUGGCUGCCGGCGGAAUAUACUCCUCUGCCGCCAUCCCUGCCCCCCGCGCCCAUUCGGACCUCGCCGGAACCCCGAGCCACCGGUGGGCAGACCAAACUGGUUCCGCCGUCUGUGUGCCGCAGAGCACCUCGCCGUUCCCUCCCCUGACCGAAGUCCUCCCGAACGCCGUGCCACCGUGCCCUGAGCUUGCAAGGUCAAGAAAAGUAACCUUGCAUCCUUUGCCCCAAUCAGAAAUGGCCAUGAUCAAGAGGGUCCACGUUAAAAACUGAAAGCACAAGACAUGAUAUGUGCUUUGAUUAUCUUUCUCAUUCACCUUAGCAAAAGCAACGCAUCUUGGCAGAUGUGCAAAAGCAAAAGGAAAAAAAUUGUUUAUCCGCAUAUACAUAGCGGGAGGAAUACUUAUAUGGCCAAGGCUGCAGAGUAGUAGAUGGAGCCUAUGGGUUGGAAAAGAACCGGUUCCAAACCUGCGUAGCUAGAACUAGCUACGAAAGAGGUGAAGGAAAGAGCAAGAGUGUGGUGGAUAGUUGUGUCCAAGACACACUCCAUUGUGGGCUUAUGACCUACGUUUGUAUUUGGGAAAAAUUGAAUUUUCAAGUUUUUUUCUUUCUUUUUACCUGCAAAAAAAGAAUUUCCAAGUUUUUUUU
Triticum dicoccoides is the source of this 675-nucleotide long non-coding RNA. RefSeq lists it as uncharacterized. The record is from RefSeq and is a predicted model, not a curated record. The transcript has 2 exons. Lineage: Eukaryota; Viridiplantae; Streptophyta; Magnoliopsida; Poales; Poaceae.